GAAUCUUAGACAAUGGGGGCAACCCUGAUCUAACCAUGCCGCGUGAGUGAUGAAGGCCUUAGGGUUGUAAAGCUCUUUCAGCUGGGAAGAUAAUGACGGUACCAGCAGAAGAAGCCCCGGCUAACUCCGUGCCAGCCGCCGCGGUAAUACGGAGGGGGCUAGCGUUGUUCGGAAUUACUGGGCGUAAAGCGCACGUAGGCGGACUGGAAAGUCAGAGGUGAAAUCCCAGGGCUCAACCUUGGAACUGCCUUUGAAACUAUCAGUCUGGAGUUCGAGAGAGGUGAGUGGAAUUCCGAGUGUAGAGGUGAAAUUCGUAGAUAUUCGGAGGAACACCAGUGGCGAAGGCGGCUCACUGGCUCGAUACUGACGCUGAGGUGCGAAAGCGUGGGGAGCAAACAGG
Molecule: ribosomal RNA, 400 nt
Filed under: uncultured bacterium
Lineage: Bacteria
Description: bacterial SSU rRNA
Rfam family: Bacterial small subunit ribosomal RNA
Source: RNAcentral